RNAcentral lists this ribosomal RNA (494 nucleotides) under uncultured bacterium. Its description in RNAcentral is "partial 16S ribosomal RNA". It matches the Rfam family "Bacterial small subunit ribosomal RNA", at positions 28 to 507 of the family's 1533-position model. The record is from RNAcentral.
GACGAACGCUGGCGGCGUGCUUAACACAUGCAAGUCGAACGGUGAAGCGCCUUCCUUUUUGGUGGGUGUGGAUGAGUGGCGAACGGGUGAGUAACACGUGAGUAACCUGCCCCCUUCUUCUGGAUAACCGCAUGAAAGUGUGGCUAAUACGGGAUAUUCUGGGUCUGUCGCAUGAUGGGUCUGGGAAAGAUAUUGUUUUGGUGGGGGAUGGGCUCGCGGCCUAUCAGCUUGUUGGUGGGGUGAUGGCCUACCAAGGCGGUGACGGGUAGCCGGCCUGGGAGGGUUGACGGUCACACUGGGACUGAGACACGGCCCAGACUCCUACGGCAGGCAGCAGUGGGGAAUAUGGCACAAUGGGCGAAAGCCUGAUGCAGCGACGCCGCGUGAGGGAUGGAGGCCUUCGGGUUGUGAACCUCUUUCGCCAGUGAAGCAGGCCUGCCUCGUUUGUGGGUGGGUUGACGGUAGCUGGAUAAGAAGCGCCGGCUAACUACGUG